This is a non-coding RNA of Ornithorhynchus anatinus (platypus), 72 nucleotides long. Lineage: Eukaryota; Metazoa; Chordata; Mammalia; Monotremata; Ornithorhynchidae. The record is from Rfam.
AGCAGUGUGGCUCAGUGGAAAGAGCACGGGCUUGGGAGUCAGAGAACAUGGGUUCUAAUCCUGGCUCUGCCA